This 467-nucleotide ribosomal RNA is filed under the name uncultured bacterium. RNAcentral's name for it is "partial 16S ribosomal RNA". It matches the Rfam family "Bacterial small subunit ribosomal RNA", at positions 28 to 507 of the family's 1533-position model. The record is from RNAcentral.
GACGAACGCUGGCGGCGUGCUUAACACAUGCAAGUCGAACGGAAAGGCCCUGCUUUUGUGGGGUGCUCGAGUGGCGAACGGGUGAGUAACACGUGAGUAACCUGCCCUUGACUUUGGGAUAACUUCAGGAAACUGGGGCUAAUACCGGAUAGGAGCUCCUGCUGCAUGGUGGGGGUUGGAAAGUUUCGGCGGUUGGGGAUGGACUCGCGGCUUAUCAGCUUGUUGGUGGGGUAGUGGCUUACCAAGGCUUUGGCGGGUAGCCGGCCUGAGAGGGUGACCGGCCACAUGGGGUGGGAAUGAGGCCCGGACCCCCUUCGGGGGGGAGGAGGGGGGAAUAUUGAAAAAGGGGUGGAAGCCUGAUGGAGCAAGCCCGGGGGGGGGAGGGAGGCCUGCGGGUUGGAAGCAGAUUUCCCUUGGGCGGAAGGGUAAUGACGGUAAAGGGGUAAAAAGCCCCGGCUAACUUCGGG